Molecule: long non-coding RNA, 586 nt
Filed under: Numida meleagris (helmeted guineafowl)
Lineage: Eukaryota; Metazoa; Chordata; Aves; Galliformes; Numididae
Description: lncRNA (ENSNMEG00000001205.1)
Source: RNAcentral
GAAUGAUAGAGAGGUUGGGUUGGAAGGGUCCUUGAAUAUCACAGAACCGUGGAAUGGUUGAGUUGGAAGGGUCCUUACAGAUAAAAGAAUUGCGGAAUGAUAGAGAGGUUGGGUUGGAAGGGUCCUUAAACAUCACAGAACCAGUGGUUGGACUGGGGAAGGCCCAGAGGUUCCACUUCCAACCUCCUGUAAUUCUGGGAUCUGUAAAAGAAUCCCAACACCUUGAGCCCAAAUCUGACCUUUUGUCCCACGAGACCGAUUUUAAGUUCCCCUCUCUGACAUUGGUUGGGUUCCCUUCUGUGAUGUUGGUUGGCUUCUUCUCUCCAGUGUUUGUUGGGUUCCCCUCUUCGAUGUUGGUUGGGUUCCCUUUCCAAUGUGGGUUCCCCUUUCUGACAUUUGUUGGGUUCUCCUCUCUAACGUUGGUUGGGUUCCCUUCUCCCAUACUCUUUGGUUUCUCUCUCCAGCAUUGGCUGGGUUUCCCUCUCUGACCUUGGCUGGUUUCUCUUUCCUGUGUGGGUUCCCUUCUCCAACCCCGAGUUCCCUUUGACAUUGGUUGGGUUCCCUUUCCAAUGUGGGUUCCCCUCUC